Molecule: microRNA, 23 nt
Filed under: Macaca mulatta (Rhesus monkey)
Lineage: Eukaryota; Metazoa; Chordata; Mammalia; Primates; Cercopithecidae
Also listed under: 1 other name
Description: Mml-Mir-1270_3p* (star (passenger))
Source: RNAcentral
CAGGCUUUUCUUUAUCUUCUAUG